ACUCCUACGGGAGGCAGCAGUGGGGAAUUUUGCGCAAUGGGCGAAAGCCUGACGCAGCAACGCCGCGUGCGGGACGAAGGCCUUCGGGUUGUAAACCGCUUUCAGCAGGGAUGAAACUGACAGUACCUGCAGAAGAAGCCCCGGCUAACUACGUGCCAGCAGCCGCGGUAAUACGUAGGGGGCAAGCGUUAUCCGGAUUUAUUGGGCGUAAAGCGCGCGUAGGCGGCUUGUUAAGUCAGGCGUGAAAUCUGGGGGCUCAACCCGCAGCUUGCGUCUGAAACUGGCAGGCUUGAGUCUGGUAGAGGAAAGUGGAAUUCCUAGUGUAGCGGUGAUAUGCGCAGAUAUUAGGAGGAACACCAGUGGCGAAGGCGGCUUUCUGGGCCACGACUGACGCUAAGGCGCGAAAGCUAGGGGAGCAAACAGGAUUAGAAACCCGAGUAGUCC
RNAcentral lists this ribosomal RNA (444 nucleotides) under uncultured bacterium. RNAcentral's name for it is "bacterial SSU rRNA". It matches the Rfam family "Bacterial small subunit ribosomal RNA", at positions 335 to 796 of the family's 1533-position model. The record is from RNAcentral.